This 443-nucleotide ribosomal RNA is filed under the name uncultured bacterium. RNAcentral describes it as "partial 16S ribosomal RNA". It matches the Rfam family "Bacterial small subunit ribosomal RNA", at positions 338 to 795 of the family's 1533-position model. The record is from RNAcentral.
CCUACGGGAGGCAGCAGUUAGGAAUAUUGGGCAAUGGAGGAAACUCUGACCCAGCAACGCCGCGUGAAGGAAGAAGGUUUUCGGAUUGUAAACUUCUGAUCUGUGGGACGAAGAAAGUGACGGUACCACAGGAGAAAGCCACGGCUAACUACGUGCCAGCAGCCGCGGUAAUACGGAGGAUUCAAGCGUUAUCCGGAUUUAUUGGGUUUAAAGGGUGCGUAGGCGGUCGGAUAAGUUAGAGGUGAAAUCCCGAGGCUCAACUUCGGAAUUGCCUCUGAUACUGUUCGGCUAGAGAGUAGUUGCGUGAGGCGGAAUGUAUGGUGUAGCGGUGAAAUGCUUAGAGAUAAUACAGAACACAGAUUGCAAGGGCAGCUUACCAAGCUACUUCUGCCGUUGAGUCACGAAAGCGUGGGGAGCAAACAGGAUUAGAUACCCUUGAAGUC